Molecule: ribosomal RNA, 514 nt
Filed under: uncultured bacterium
Lineage: Bacteria
Description: bacterial SSU rRNA
Rfam family: Bacterial small subunit ribosomal RNA
Source: RNAcentral
ACUCCUACGGGAGGCAGCAGUGGGGAAUAUUGGACAAUGGGCGGAAGCCUGAUCCAGCAACGCCGCGUGAGGGAUGACGGCCUUCGGGUUGUAAACCUCUUUCAGCGGGGACGAAGCGCAAGUGACGGUACCCGCAGAAGAAGCACCGGCCAACUACGUGCCAGCAGCCGCGGUAAUACGUAGGGUGCGAGCGUUGUCCGGAAUUAUUGGGCGUAAAGGGCUCGUAGGCGGUUUGUCGCGUCGGGAGUGAAAACCAUGGGCUUAACUCAUGGCUUGCUUCCGAUACGGGCAGACUAGAGGCAUGCAGGGGAGAACGGAAUUCCUGGUGUAGCGGUGAAAUGCGCAGAUAUCAGGAGGAACACCGGUGGCGAAGGCGGUUCUCUGGGCAUGUCCUGACGCUGAGGAGCGAAAGUGUGGGGAGCGAACAGGAUUAGAUACCCUGGUAGUCCACACCGUAAACGUUGGGCGCUAGGUGUGGGAUCCAUUCCACGGGUUCCGUGCCGCAGCUAACGCA